GCUAGUGGUGGGCAUGGCCCCCUCUUUGGAUCAACGAUUUUGCCAUCUUACAUUUGUAAUUUCAUGCAAGACAUUAGAAAGAGCCUGUAACGCCAUCAAACCUGACAGGAAACGUGACGUGAGGAGCUGAAGCUGGUUGUGACAGCACCUGACAACUUCUGGAAAGCAGCAGUCUCACCAGUUACCAGGCCCCUGCCAAACACCGAUCUCCAUCAGCGAGACUGCCAAGCGGAUUCCUUUAUUCCUCAUCGAAGAUGUCAUCCCAAGCUUACGUGAUGUUGUGUCCCUUUAAAGGAGCCAGGCCAGUCAGGAUUUAACUGCUACUUUAUAAUGUAUUUAAUCAUUUUGCAAUGAUAAUAAAGGGCAUGUCAGAAUGUUAUGUCAGUUGCCUUGUGCAGAUUGUGUUCAGUGCUGCUAAAAAUGCAAUUAUAUGCAUUCAUUCAGCUAUUUAGCAU
Carassius carassius (crucian carp) is the source of this 455-nucleotide long non-coding RNA. RefSeq lists it as uncharacterized. The record is from RefSeq and is a predicted model, not a curated record. NCBI's taxonomy places the organism in Eukaryota, Metazoa, Chordata, Actinopteri, Cypriniformes, Cyprinidae. The transcript has 3 exons.